Molecule: ribosomal RNA, 426 nt
Filed under: Bacillus sp. PSu3_25
Lineage: Bacteria; Bacillati; Bacillota; Bacilli; Caryophanales; Bacillaceae
Description: bacterial SSU rRNA
Rfam family: Bacterial small subunit ribosomal RNA
Source: RNAcentral
GUCGAGCGGACCGACGGGAGCUUGCUCCCUUAGGUCAGCGGCGCCCUUGAAAGUAACACGUGGGUAACCUGCCUGUAAGACUGGGCCUCUCAAAAGAAAACCGGGGCUAAUACCGGAUGCUUGAUUGAACCGCAUGGUUCAUUCAUGAAAGGCGGCUUCGGCUGCCGUCCUCUCAAAGAGACCCGCGGCGCAUUAGCUAGUUGGUGAGGUAACGGCUCACCAAGGCGACGAUGCGUAGCCGACCUGAGAGGGUGAUCGGCCACACUGGGACUGAGACACGGCCCAGACUCCUACGGGAGGCAGCAGUAGGGAAUCUUCCGCAAUGGACGAAAGUCUGACUUAGCAACGCCGCGUGAGUGAUGAAGGUUUUCGGAUCGUAAAGCUCUGUUGUUAGGGAAGAACAAGUACCGUUCGAAUAGGGCGGUA